GUCUGCUGUUAAAAGUGGAGCUUAACUCCAUCGUGGCAGUGGAAACUGUUGGGCUCCUUAUGGGAGGGGUAGAGGGAAUUCCCGGGGUAGUGGUCUUUUGAGAAGAUAUCGGGAAGAACACCAGUGGCGAAGGCGCUCUGCUGGGCCAUAACUGACGCUCAUGGACGAAAGCCAGGGGAGCGAAAGGGAUUAGAUACCCCUGUAGUCCUGGCCGUAAACGAUGAACACUAGGUGUCGGGGGAAUCGACCCCCUCGGUGUCGUAGCCAACGCGUUAAGUGUUCCGCCUGGGGAGUACGCACGCAAGUGUGAAACUCAAAGGAAUUGACGGGGGCCCGCACAAGCGGUGGAGUAUGUGGCUUAAUUCGAUGCAACGCGAAGAACCUUACCAGGGUUUGACAUCCUGCGAAUCUCCUGGAAACGGGAGAGUGCCUUCGGGAACGCAGCGACAGGUGGUGCAUGGCUGUCGUCUGCUCGCGUCGUGAGAUGUUGGGUUAAGUCCCGCAACGAGCGCACCCCACGUCUUUAGUGGCCAGCAUUCAACUGGGCACUCUAGAGAGACCGCCGGUGAUAAACCGGACGAAGGUGUGGAUGACGUCUAGUCAUCAUGCCCCUUACGUCCUGGGCUACACGCGUACUACAAUGCUACGGACAAGGGGCAGCAAACUCGCGAGAGCUAGCAUAUCCCAUAUAGCGUGCCGUCACUCAGAUCGUAGGCUGCGGCUCGCCUACGUGAAGGAGGAAUCGCUAGCAAUCGCAAGUCAGCAUACUGCGGUGAAUACCUUCCCGGGCCUUGUACCACCGCCCGUCACACCAUGAAAUUGGCCACGCCCGAGCCCGUACUCCACCCUUGGGGAGGAGACGUCAAAGGGGGCUGAUGACUGGGGUGAAGCGUAACA
RNAcentral lists this ribosomal RNA (897 nucleotides) under uncultured Synechococcus sp. RNAcentral describes it as "bacterial SSU rRNA". It matches the Rfam family "Bacterial small subunit ribosomal RNA", at positions 587 to 1493 of the family's 1533-position model. Lineage: Bacteria; Bacillati; Cyanobacteriota; Cyanophyceae; Synechococcales; Synechococcaceae. The record is from RNAcentral.